AUAUUUUUUUCUAAGAAAAAAAGUUUUAAAACUCGCGAAAACUAGUUUUAAUACAUUCUUAUAAGUUAAACGAAGCGAUAUGUGAUGGUUUUAAAUGUGGCGUGGUGAUUUUUAGUUCAAAAAACUCAUUUAAAAUACAUUGACGUUUGACAGAUAUGGAGGUUAAAAGAUUUAAAAUAGUUUUAAGCGGAGAUUUGCGGAUUCUCGUUAAGGCCUAAGAACCACUCAAAUUCGCAUUUAGAAACUCCGGAAACUACAACGACGACGAUGACGACCACGAGAAACUUUUCCCAUUAAGAAACGCAGAAGACGUCACCGAGAACUAGGAGAUAGCGAGCGAGAUGGAAACACAAAGAGAAACGUUUCAAUCACAAUCAAAAACGGAUUAUAUUUUAACUAACAACAAAAAGAAAUAAAUAAAUAAUACAAGGAGAUGAUGAAGAUUUUACGUUUUUGUUUUGGAUUUAUGGUUUUGGAGUGUUUGAUUGAAUUUUGAGAGAGAUUAAAUUUCGCUUGAAAUCGGGGGCAAUUAAUCCCGAAAUUUCCGUGGUCGUUGUCGUCGUCCCACUGGAAUAUUUAAUGUUCCAAAACCGCCCCCUGAUACCGCCAAAAACCCCCCACUUUGGAAACUGACGCUAAUUGCCUCACGUCGCUUCUAAUAUGAAAUCUAUAUUCGAAAACCGAAUGAUUUAUCGAGUUAACGUUUUAAUGCCUAAAGUUCCAAGAAGUUGAACCAUUCCGAAAGUUGAUGUAAGAAAAAAUUGAUUUAAAAAGAAUUAUUUUGAACGAUU
Molecule: non-coding RNA, 791 nt
Organism: Onthophagus taurus
Lineage: Eukaryota; Metazoa; Arthropoda; Insecta; Coleoptera; Scarabaeidae
Source: RefSeq, a predicted model, not a curated record